UGCAGCAUCUUUAUCUCAGUUUGAAUGGUUUUGAAGGAAAUAUACCAUCUCAACUUGGAAAUCUCUCCCAAUUGCAUGAGCUCUAUCUUGUAGGAUAUGACGGUAAUCUCAAAAUUAGUGACGGAGGUCAGUGGCUCUCAAAUCUUAUUUCUUUAACCCAUCUUUACUUGGAUUCUGUAUCAAAUCUUAAUCGUUCUCAUACUUGGUUGCAAGGGAUUGCGAAGCUACCUCAAGUAAAAGAACUAAGUUUAACUAAUUGUAGCCUUUCCGAUGAUUUCAUUCUGUCAUCUAAGUUCAAUUUCUCUACUUCCCUCUCUGUCCUUCAUCUUUCUCAUAACACCUUCACAUCAAUAGUAUUCCAGUGGCUGUCAAACAUCACUUCAGACCUUGUUGACCUUGACCUUAGUGCUAACCUCUUGGAGGGUUCCACAUUAAUUGAUUUUGGCAUCGUCAUGAAUUCGCUUAGGCAUCUUGACCUAUCCUCAAACAAUUUGACUGAAGACCUUCCCUCCAUUCUCGGUAAUUUGUCCAGUGGAUGCGUUAGACAAUCAUUGCAAGAAUUAGAUCUGUCAUGGAAUCACAUCACUGGUACUUUGUCUGACAUUUCAAUAUUCUCCUCUUUGAAAUCAUUGUUUCUAAGGGGAAAUCAGUUAAGUGGAAGGAUACCUGAAGGUGUCAAGUUACCAUCUACUUUGGAGUAUUUUUUAAUUAGCUCAAAUUCAUUACAAGGUGGAAUUCCAAAAUCAUUUGGGGAUGCAUGUUCUUUGUGCUAUUUGGACAUGUCUUUUAAUAGUCUGAGUGAUGAGCUUCCGAUGAUAAUUUCUCACUUGUCUGGAUGUGCUAGAUAUUCAUUGCAACAAUUAUAUCUACAUGAUAAUCAAAUCAAUGGCACACUACCUGACUUCUCAACAUUCACAUCUUUACAAACAUUAGAUCUUUCUGAAAAUAAGCUAAAUGGAGAGAUUCCUAUGGACAUUCAAUUUCCACCUAAAUUGGAGACGCUCUACAUGUAUUCAAAUUCUUUAAAGGGUGUGCUGACUGACUACCACUUUGCUAAUAUGUCUAAGUUACAGAACUUGUAUUUAUCUGACAACUCAUUGGGCUUUGCAUUUACUCAAAAUUGGGUUCCAUCUUUUCAAUUGCUCUCUAUAUACUUGAGAUCUUGCCAGCUAGGUCCAACAUUUCCCACGUGGUUGCAGACACAAAAUAAAUUUGUCGAAAUUGACAUUUCAAAUGCUACAAUAUCAGGUAUUAUUCCUGAAUGGUUUUGGGCUAAAUUACCUCUACAAAAGGUGAUGAAAAUGAAUAUUUCAUACAACAGUCUACAAGGAACAAUUCCAAAUGUUUCAUCAACGUAUGUUUCUAGUUCCAUUCACCUUGGAUCAAAUCGAUUUGAAGGUUCCAUUCCUCUAUUUUUACGGAAUUCUAAAAUUCUUGAUUUAUCAAAAAAUAAAUUCUCAAAUCCUCUUUUAUUUUUGUGUGGAGGUGAUGCAAAUUCAGUUCAAAUUCAUUUAGACAUUUCGUAUAAUCAGUUAUACGGAGAUAUCCCAGAUUGUUGGAAACAAAUGAACUCACUAGUUUAUUUGGAUUUGAGUUAUAAUAACUUUUCUGGAAAAAUUCCAACUUCAAUGGGAUGGCUUCUUGGUCUUCAAGUAUUAUUGUUGAGAAACAACAAUUUAGUAGGAGGAAUCCCAUUCUCCAUAAGAAAUUGCACAAAGCUAGUAAUGUUUGAUUUGUCAGAAAACAGAUUAUCAGGAUCUAUCCCUGAUUGGAUUGGGACAAAAAAAGAGUUGCAAAUAUUAAGUCUGAGAAAGAAUCAAUUCUUUGGGAGUUUACCAUUAAUGGUUUGUUGUCUAAGAAGGCUUCAUCUCUUGGAUCUCUCACAAAACAACUUAUCUGGAAAAAUUCCUAAAUGCAUAAACAACCUUACUUCAAUGGCUCAAACAACAUCUUCAAUAUUUGAUGAAAGUCAUUGGUAUACGUUGGAAAUUGGUCUUUCUAUUACCACCAUAUUUUACUAUUUGAAUGCAUGGUUGACAUGGAAAGGUUCAAAACAAAUGUUUAUGGAUAAAGGUUUGUCACUUUUAAAAAUCAUUGAUCUCUCAAGCAAUCAGUUCUCCGAAGAAAUUCCUAUAGAAAUAGAGAAAUUAUCUGGAUUGAUUUCGUUGAACUUAUCAAGAAACAGUUUGAUUGGAAAAAUUCCUUCAAACAUUGGAAAUAUAACAUCACUUGAUUCUCUUGAUUUGUCAAGAAACCGACUUGUUGGUUCAAUUCCUCUAAGUCUUGCUCAAAUUUAUAGACUUGGUGUGUUAGAUUUGUCUCAUAACCAACUUAGUGGAGAAAUUCCUACAAGCACACAAUUACAGAGUUUCAACAAAUCUAGUUAUGAAGAUAAUCUUGAUCUUUGUGGACCACCACUUGAAAAACUAUGUAUUGAUGAGGAGCUAACAAAAAAACCAAAUGUUAAUGUUUAUAAAGAUGAAUAUUCAUUUUUUAAUAAUGAAUUUUUCAUAAGUAUGGCAAUUGGAUUUGCUCUAAGUUUUUGGAUGGUGUUUGGCUCAAUCUUAUUCAUACGUUCUUGGCGAUGGUCUUACUUCAACUUCUUGAACAACUUAGAAGAUAAUGUUCAUGUCAAAAUAGCAAUUGUUAGAGUAUUUAAGCAUGACAGAGAUUAUCAGGUAACAAUAUCAUGUGUUAUAUAACUUUGCUUUCUAUAUGUAUUAAAAAAUGCACACAUUAUACCAUAUAUUCCUUUUUCAAUAUUUCUAAAGCAUUUUAUUGAUUAAAGUAAAAUUAUCAAUUUUUUUUAAUAUUGAAUCAAUUUUUACAAUUCAAUUAGUUGCUUUUGAAAGUAAUUACGUCAAAGACAUAAGAUUUAAUGCACAAGAGCAAUUAAAUGUGUAAAUAUAACAUGUUAAGUAAUAAAAAAAUGACUUCUUGCUGGUUUAAAUGAGUGCCUUUAGUGUUUAUUUGUUUCAUGUUUUUUUAAUAAAAGUAUGCCCUGGACAACCUUUUGCAAAUUUAGAUGAAAAGUUUGCAUACUACAAAAUAAAAUAGCUAAUAAAAUAAUUGAUGUUCUUGAUAGUCUUAUAAGAAAAAAAAACAACUGUUUCUUCUGAGAUUUUCAAAGAACUAACAUUCUUUACAUUUUAUUUUUCAAUUUUCAGGCACCGGAAACGCAUCGUCUUGCACGACUCCACCUUUGAGCUUUUUGUGGUUGGAAAAGGUAAUGGUUUCAUUAAAUUAUAAACGUCAUUAAUCAUUGUUCUUGUGGUGAAAUUAAAUUGUCAUACAUAUUGUCAUACAUAUAAUAAGGAAAUGAAAAUAUAGAAUAAGUUAAGAGGUUAAAACUGAAAGGAAAGUAUUGGCAAGGAUGUGAGUGUAUGUGAAACAAACAUAGCAUAAAAUAUAGAUCCCACUCUGCACUCCAAAAUAUACAUAUUGAAUAUACGUCAAUGAUAUUUCUAAUCAAUUUAUGCAAAAAAUAUUUCAAGGUACGAAUGUAUGUUGAGUUCUAAAAUUGAUAUCUAUAUGUUAAAAACAAUCAAUAAAUUGAUCCUUUUAAAUUUAAAGAUUAUCAAUUUAGUCUUUGUCACUGUUAAUACCCUUACGAAUUCUAUUUUGGUGCUUAUAGUACAUGCAGUACAUCGCUUGAGCAUCAACUGAACCAGCCCUCACGUAUUUGAGUGAAUUGAACACGAAACGUGUUCUAUGCUGUAAUGGGAGACUCAAUUUUCAAAGUCUUUUUGUUUUAUUUGGAGAAAGUGGUAUAAGGGAUCAUCUCAUCCCACUAUAUACACAAUUAAGUCUUUUUUCUUUGUUUUUGUUUUUGUCGAAUGUAAUAUAUUGGUCAAUGCACUUAAUAAUUUUUUCUAUUGACAUCAUCGUACUAUCAAUCAACUUCUCUUUUUUAAUGACUUCUGUAAUCCACUUUUAUUAACAUUUUUAUGUUAUAUAUAAAUUCUUUUUCAACAUUUCACUAAAAAUCGUAUCUAAUACAUAGUUCAAAUUACACUAAAAAGAUCUAAAAUGUAGGUCAUAAUCG
Molecule: long non-coding RNA, 4045 nt
Filed under: Vigna radiata
Lineage: Eukaryota; Viridiplantae; Streptophyta; Magnoliopsida; Fabales; Fabaceae
Description: long non-coding RNA (VRAD_LNC001317)
Source: RNAcentral